This 267-nucleotide long non-coding RNA is filed under the name Prunus persica (peach). RNAcentral describes it as "long non-coding RNA (PPER_LNC005940)". Lineage: Eukaryota; Viridiplantae; Streptophyta; Magnoliopsida; Rosales; Rosaceae. The record is from RNAcentral.
UUGACUUCAUCGUCGACUUGAAGAGGUUGACCUCCUUAGUUGCCCUGCCCGUGAGGCAGAUUGGUGGAUUGAGCUUGCAAAGAUUCCUCCACAAGUUGUCGCAGUGAGUUGGUUCUCGAGCCGGUUGGUGAGCGUCGGUCUUUGGAUUCGUCACGCAAUUGUUCACGGACUCGUGCCUCCUGUGAGCCUAAUCUUGAAUGGAUUGUCUACCAACUCUGAGUAUGGCUUGCAGAUGUUUGGGUCUCGUCAGCACGAUCUCGUUCUCUC